Molecule: ribosomal RNA, 497 nt
Filed under: uncultured bacterium
Lineage: Bacteria
Description: partial 16S ribosomal RNA
Rfam family: Bacterial small subunit ribosomal RNA
Source: RNAcentral
GAUGAACGCUGGCGGCGUGCUUAAUACAUGCAAGUCGAGCGGACAGACGAGGAGCUUGCUCCUCUGACGUUUGCGGCGGACGGGAGAGUAACACGUGGAUAACCCACUUAUAUGACUGGGAUAUCUUCGGGAAACCGGAGCUAACACCGGAUAAUCUCUUGAACCGCAUGGUUCAUUAGUGAAAGACGGUUUUGCUGUCACUUAUAGCUGGAUCCGCGCCGCAUUAGCUAGUUGGUAAGGUAACGGCUUACCAAGGCAACGAUGCGUAGCCGACCUGAGAGGGUGAUCGGCCACACUGGAACUGAGACACGGUCCAGACUCCUACGGGAGGCAGCAGUAGGGAAUCUUCCGCAAUGGGCGAAAGCCUGACGGAGCAACGCCGCGUGAGUGAUGAAGGUCUUCGGAUCGUAAAACUCUGUUAUUAGGGAAGAACAAAUGUGUAAGUAACUAUGCACGUCUUGACGGUACCUAAUCAGAAAGCCACGGCUAACUACGUG